CAAUUUAGAUCUUGUAUAAGUUUCUUAUUUACAUUAAGAAGAAAAUUGUAAAAUCAUUUUAAAUUGA
Molecule: transfer RNA, 67 nt
Filed under: Henosepilachna vigintioctopunctata
Lineage: Eukaryota; Metazoa; Arthropoda; Insecta; Coleoptera; Coccinellidae
Description: tRNA-Val
Source: RNAcentral